UACGUAGGGCGCAAGCGUUGUCCGGAAUUAUUGGGCGUAAAGAGCUCGUAGGUGGUCUGUUGCGUCUGCUGUGAAAACCUAAGGCUUAACCUUGGGCCUGCAGUGGAUACGGGCAGACUAGAGGUAGGUAGGGGAGAAUGGAAUUCCCGGUGUAGCGGUGAAAUGCGCAGAUAUCGGGAGGAACACCGGUGGCGAAGGCGGUUCUCUGGGCCUGACCUGACGCUGAGGAGCGAAAGCGUGGGGAGCGAACAGG
RNAcentral lists this ribosomal RNA (253 nucleotides) under uncultured prokaryote. RNAcentral describes it as "partial 16S ribosomal RNA". It matches the Rfam family "Bacterial small subunit ribosomal RNA", at positions 524 to 776 of the family's 1533-position model. The record is from RNAcentral.